CUGAAAUAUUUAAAGAGCCGCGGUAUCCUGACUGUGCAAAGGUAGCAUAAUCGUUAGUUUUUUAAUUGGAAUCUUGUAUGAAUGGUUGGACAAAAGAAAUACUGUCUCUAUAUUAAAAAUUGAAUUUAACUUUUAAGUGAAAAGGCUUAAAUAUAUUAAAGGGACGAUAAGACCCUAUAAAGCUUAAUAUUAAUAUUUAUUUAGUUAAAUUUAAAAAUUAUAAAAAUUUAGUAAGUAGAUUUAUUUUGUUGGGGCGAUAAAAGUAAAAAGAUUUGUAACUGCUUAAUUGUGGAGACAUAAAAUUUAUGAAUAAAAGUUUAAAUGAUCCUUUAUGAAGAUUAAAAGUUUAAGUUACUUUAGGGAUAACAGCGUUAUUUUUUUUGAGAGUUCUUAUCGAGAAAAAAGUUUGCGACCUCGAUGUUGAAUUAAAAUAUCUGUAUAAUUGUAGUAGUUAUAUAAGAAGGUCUGUUCGACCUUUAAAUUUUUA
Molecule: ribosomal RNA, 487 nt
Filed under: Sesarmoides borneensis
Lineage: Eukaryota; Metazoa; Arthropoda; Malacostraca; Decapoda; Sesarmidae
Description: partial 16S ribosomal RNA
Rfam family: Bacterial large subunit ribosomal RNA
Source: RNAcentral